Molecule: small nucleolar RNA, 79 nt
Organism: Telopea speciosissima
Lineage: Eukaryota; Viridiplantae; Streptophyta; Magnoliopsida; Proteales; Proteaceae
Product: small nucleolar RNA R160
Exons: 1
Source: RefSeq, a predicted model, not a curated record
UUCGAACCUUAUGAGGAUCUGUCCUCUGAAUUUAAUGUGGAGUGCAUGCUUCAAUGGUCUUCAAAGUUCUCUGAUUGCC